UACGGAGGGGGCUAGCGUUGUUCGGAAUUACUGGGCGUAAAGCGCGCGCAGGCGGCUGGUCAAGCCCGACGUGAAAGCCCCCGGCUCAACCGGGGAGGGUCGUCGGGGACUGAUCGGCUUGAGGGCGGUAGGGGCCGGUGGAAUUCCCGGUGUAGUGGUGAAAUGCGUAGAGAUCGGGAGGAACACCAGUAGCGAAGGCGGCCGGCUGGGCCGACCCUGACGCUGAGGCGCGAAGGCGUGGGGAGCGAACGGG
Molecule: ribosomal RNA, 253 nt
Filed under: uncultured bacterium
Lineage: Bacteria
Description: partial 16S ribosomal RNA
Rfam family: Bacterial small subunit ribosomal RNA
Source: RNAcentral